RNAcentral lists this ribosomal RNA (497 nucleotides) under uncultured bacterium. RNAcentral's name for it is "partial 16S ribosomal RNA". It matches the Rfam family "Bacterial small subunit ribosomal RNA", at positions 28 to 507 of the family's 1533-position model. The record is from RNAcentral.
GAUGAACGCUGGCGGCGUGCCUAAUACAUGCAAGUCGAGCGAACGGACGAGAAGCUUGCUUCUCUGAUGUUAGCGGCGGACGGGUGAGUAACACGUGGAUAACCUACCUAUAAGACUGGGAUAACUUCGGGAAACCGGAGCUAAUACCGGAUAAUCUCUUGAACCGCAUGGUUCAAAAGUGAAAGACGGCCUUGCUGUCACUUAUAGAUGGAUCCGCGCUGCAUUAGCUAGUUGGUAAGGUAACGGCUUACCAAGGCAACGAUGCAUAGCCGACCUGAGAGCGUGAUCGGCCACACUGGAACUGAGACACGGUCCAGACUCCUACGAGAGGCAGCAGUAGGGAAUCUUCCGCAGUGGGCGAAAGCCUGACGGAGCAACGCCACGUGAGUGAUGAAGGUCUUCGGAUCGUAAAACUCUGUUAUUAGUGAAGAACAUAUGUGUAAGUAACUGUGCACAUCUUGACGGUACCUAAUCAGAAAGCCACGGCUAACUACGUG